AUGCACAAGGAAUGCACUGUCCUGUGCUCUGUGGGGUCACAAUACAAAACAAUUGCAUUUUAUGGAAGAAGUGCAUUCCCAAGUGCUGAUGGAAUUCAAGGCUAAACUUGACGAAGGAUGGCAGGUGGCUUGAGGCAAUGGACAAAGCGGCCCAUCUUGUCCGCCAGAGCCAUGUCUGGGAAGAUGUUACUCUGCACAACAGUAGCCUCCCACCUCUGGCUAUCAAGAACCCAGGGUGUCUGGGUCUUCUGCACCAGCUGGAUAUAAACACGGACAUGUGGGUCCUGCACUAUUGCAUCUUGAAAGGACGGUUGCUUGUAUUUCUAUGAUAACAAUCGCUCUACCCAAGCCUCAGGUGGUCUAUAUCUGCAAGGAUAUAGGGUGAGUGAACAGACCCUUAGUUCCAAACAAUUAGUAAUUGAACUCUAGCCUCCAUCCAAAGAGUUCAAGACUUUCUGUUUCUGUGCGGAAAAUGAAAUAGAAAACCAACGCUCGAUUACAGCUCUGAAAGCAUUUAUCAAAAAAAUGGCUUCCUUUGCAUUAGGCUAUUCAAGACUUUAUGAAUUGACCUCUAGGACAAGCCAAAAUGCGAAAGAGACCCUAACUCUUAAAAGGAUCUACAAACUCAUCACCAACCUGUAGAAACAAACAAAAUGUCUAUCAUUAUAUAACUUUUCAAAUGAAUGUUCUUCCAAUGUAUUAAAACUAUGUGAUGAGAUU
Molecule: small RNA, 720 nt
Filed under: Pan troglodytes (chimpanzee)
Lineage: Eukaryota; Metazoa; Chordata; Mammalia; Primates; Hominidae
Description: processed transcript
Source: RNAcentral